This 147-nucleotide unclassified non-coding RNA is filed under the name soil metagenome. Its description in RNAcentral is "partial internal transcribed spacer 1". The record is from RNAcentral.
CCGAGUUUACAACUCCCAAACCCCUGUGAACAUACCUUAUGUUGCCUCGGCGGAUCAGCCCGCGCCCCGUAAAAAGGGACGGCCCGCCACAGGAACCCUAAACUCUGUUUUUAGUGGAACUUCUGAGUAUAAAAAACAAAUAAAUCA